GCCUGUGUAGCCCAGUCAGUAGAGCACCAGACUUUUAAUCUGAGGAUCCAGGCUUAAAGUCCCUGUUCAGAUG
RNAcentral lists this transfer RNA (73 nucleotides) under Dipodomys ordii (Ord's kangaroo rat). It matches the Rfam family "tRNA". From Rfam's summary of the family: Transfer RNA (tRNA) molecules are approximately 80 nucleotides in length. Their secondary structure includes four short double-helical elements and three loops (D, anti-codon, and T loops). Lineage: Eukaryota; Metazoa; Chordata; Mammalia; Rodentia; Heteromyidae. The record is from Rfam by way of RNAcentral.